UGGGGAAUAUUGGACAAUGGGGGAACCCUGAUCCAGCGACGCCGCGUGAGUGAAGAGGUAUUUCGGUAUGUAAAGCUCUAUCAGCAGGGAAGAAAAUGACGGUACCUGACUAAGAAGCCCCGGCUAACUACGUGCCAGCAGCCGCGGUAAUACGUAGGGGGCAAGCGUUAUCCGGAUUUACUGGGUGUAAAGGGAGCGCAGACGGCCAAGCAAGCCUGAAGUGAAAUGCAUGGGCUCAACCCAUGAAUUGCUUUGGAAACUGUUAGGCUUGAGUGUCGGAGGGGUAAGCGGAAUUCCUAGUGUAGCGGUGAAAUGCGUAGAUAUUAGGAGGAACACCGGAGGCGAAGGCGGCUUACUGGACGACAACUGACGUUGAGGCUCGAAGGCGUGGGGAGCAAACAGGAUUAGAUACCCUGGUAGUCCACGCAGUAAACGAUGAAUACUUGGUGUCGGGGAGAUAAACUCUUCGGUGCCGCAAGCAAACGCAUUAAGUAUUCCACCUGGGGAGUACGUUCGCAAGAAUG
Molecule: ribosomal RNA, 524 nt
Filed under: uncultured bacterium
Lineage: Bacteria
Description: bacterial SSU rRNA
Rfam family: Bacterial small subunit ribosomal RNA
Source: RNAcentral